CCCUUAGACGUUCUGGGCCGCACGCGCGCUACACUGAUGCAUUCAACGAGUCUAAAACCUGCUCUGAUAGGGGUGGGUAAUCUUUUGAAUGUGCAUCGUGAUUGGGAUAGAUGAUUGCAAUUUUUCAUCUUCAACGAGGAGUGCCUAGUAAACGCAAGUCAUCAGCUUGCAUUGAUUACGUCCCUGCCCUUUGUAUACACCGCCCGUCGCUCCUACCGAUUGAAUGAUCCGAUGAAUAUCAUGGAUUGAGGAUGCAAGUAGGUUCGCCUAUCUUCAUCUUCGAGAAGUGAAGUAAAUCUUAUCAUUUAGAGGAAGGAGAAGUCGUAACA
Molecule: ribosomal RNA, 329 nt
Filed under: uncultured eukaryote
Lineage: Eukaryota
Description: partial 18S ribosomal RNA
Rfam family: Eukaryotic small subunit ribosomal RNA
Source: RNAcentral